RNAcentral lists this long non-coding RNA (315 nucleotides) under Vulpes vulpes (red fox). Its description in RNAcentral is "lncRNA (ENSVVUG00000009158.1)". Lineage: Eukaryota; Metazoa; Chordata; Mammalia; Carnivora; Canidae. The record is from RNAcentral.
AUGCAUAACUACUCUGUCUUUCAGCUCUUCUUGAACCCACUGAAGGAUGAGAACCUUACUUCAUUCCGAGAGAGCUGCUUCCAUUUUCAGAAAGUUCUACAGAGAAUUACAGUUAUUCAGUGCUGUACUGCUGGGCAAGAAGAGUCUCUCUUUGCCUCUCUCAGUGCAGUUUUUCUUGACCUGUUUAGUUCCCAGAACUGCAAAUUCUGUAUGUUCCAACAGAGGAACAUCAGAUGGAAUAUCAUUCUAGAAUCACACCAGAAGCAUUUACAGGUAUCUGACAAAGGAGUUUUGAAGGAAACAGCUUCAAGCUAA